Molecule: ribosomal RNA, 467 nt
Filed under: uncultured bacterium
Lineage: Bacteria
Description: partial 16S ribosomal RNA
Rfam family: Bacterial small subunit ribosomal RNA
Source: RNAcentral
GAUGAACGCUGGCGGCGUGCUUAACACAUGCAAGUCGAACGGAAAGGCCCAAGCUUGCUUGGGUACUCGAGUGGCGAACGGGUGAGUAACACGUGGGUGAUCUGCCCUGCACUUCGGGAUAAGCCUGGGAAACUGGGUCUAAUACCGGAUAGGACGAUGGUUUGGAUGCCAUUGUGGAAAGUUUUUUCGGUGUGGGAUGAGCUCGCGGCCUAUCAGCUUGUUGGUGGGGUAAUGGCCUACCAAGGCGUCGACGGGUAGCCGGCCUGAGAGGGUGUACGGCCACAUUGGGACUGAGAUACGGCCCAGACUCCUACGGGAGGCAGCAGUGGGGAAUAUUGCACAAUGGCGCAAGCCUGAUGCAGCGACGCCGCGUGGGGGAUGACGGCCUUCGGGUUGUAGACUCCUUUCGCUAGGGACGAAGCGUUUUUGUGACGGUACCUGGAGAAGAAGCACCGGCUAACUACGUG